This is a long non-coding RNA of Branchiostoma floridae (Florida lancelet), 661 nucleotides long. RefSeq lists it as uncharacterized. NCBI's taxonomy places the organism in Eukaryota, Metazoa, Chordata, Leptocardii, Amphioxiformes, Branchiostomatidae. The transcript is spliced from 4 exons. The record is from RefSeq and is a predicted model, not a curated record.
UGUUCCUGAGAGCGGCUGGAGUGUGAGCUAGAGAAGAGACGAGAGGUGAAGCUGCACUGGGUGGCUACCAGGCAGGGUUCAAGGCUCACCGGGCCAAAGUUUGAGGGCAGUCGUCGAGCGUACCACCAGCUGUAGAAGCUGUGUGAGGAGAAACGACUGAAGGAAGCAGCACACAGAGUUGCAGCUGCCGAGGAGAAGAGGUGUUCCUGAGAGCGGCUGGAGUGUGAGCUAGAGAAUAGACGAGAGGUGAAGCUGCACUGGGUGGCUACCAGGCAGGGUUCAAGGCUCACCGGGCCAAAGUUUGAGGGCAGUCGUCGAGCGUACCACCAGCUGCAGAAGCUGUGUGAGGAGAAACGACUGAAGGAAGCAGCACACAGAGUUGCAGCUGCCGAGGAGAAGAAGAGGUGUUCCUGAGAGCGGCUGGAGUUGAGCUAGAGAAUAGACGAGAGGUGAAGCUGCACUGGGUGGCUACCAGGCAGGGUUCAAGGCUCACCGGGCCAAAGUUUGAGGGCAGUCGUCGAGCGUACCACCAGCUGUAGAAGCUGUGUGAGGAGAAACGACUGAAGGAAGCAGCACACAGAGUUGCAGCUGCCGAGGAGAAGAGGUGUUCCUGAGAGCAGCUGGAGUGUGAGCUAGAGAGGAGACGAGACCAAGCAUUAUG